Phyllostomus discolor (pale spear-nosed bat) is the source of this 721-nucleotide long non-coding RNA. RefSeq lists it as uncharacterized. Lineage: Eukaryota; Metazoa; Chordata; Mammalia; Chiroptera; Phyllostomidae. The transcript is spliced from 2 exons. The record is from RefSeq and is a predicted model, not a curated record.
UCAGGCCCAGCUGGAGACCUUAAGAGGACAAAGUUUUGCCUCCCGUACAGGUACAAAGACUACGGUUAGGUCUUCUCCAGCCUAAGUAGCAGUGCCUGGAACCCAGUCGGUCAUCAGCAAGGGCGUUUGUCGGAGAAUGAAAGCAUCUGUGAGAAACAAACCAUGUUAACCUUCCUGGGACGACCACAUUUUAUCUUAUAAUGUCCAGUUAUUUCUCCUCCUUUCUUUCUGUUUGUUUUUCCUUCGUCACUUACUUGGCCCUUCACAUGCAAUUUUUCAUUUAAUUCUCACAGGUCUGUUGGGGGUAGAUAUUGGUGUCUGCCUCUACUGGAUGAGAAAACUGACCUUCAAACAGCUGAAGUGCAUUGUCCAAGGUCACGCAGCCAGGAUGCAGUCGAGUGAGAAAUCUAAGCUGGGUUUUUUCUGACUUUAGAUUCCAUGGACUUUUGCAGCGUGUCGUAGUCUGAUUGUCUGCCAUAGCGUGUGUGUACAUCUGCGCACAAACACUACACAUAAAUUGGCAACACCUGCCACUCCCCUUCUGUUUUGUAAACAUGAUCACUGACUGUGAAAGGGUCAGACAAUGCAAUGCUGCUUCUCAAAUUUGAUUGGCUAUUGGAAUCGCCUGGCCCUCAUCUCAGUGGUUUUGACUUCACUGCUCUAGAGAGGGAUGAGCAUUCAGGUUUUUAAUAUGCUGUCUAAGUUGGGAAUCCCUGCAAUA